This is a long non-coding RNA of Suricata suricatta (meerkat), 2223 nucleotides long. RefSeq lists it as uncharacterized. Lineage: Eukaryota; Metazoa; Chordata; Mammalia; Carnivora; Herpestidae. The transcript is spliced from 4 exons. The record is from RefSeq and is a predicted model, not a curated record.
GGGGCUAAGCCCCUCUGGGAAGUCUCCUGUCCCCACCUACUCCCAUGGCCUUCUCGAUCUGAGGGCUACUUGGCUGGGGCUGGACUCGUGGGCAGCUGGGAACCACCCUGCUCCCAGCAGGGGCCUGAGCAGGGCAAGGGCGAGCACAAGCUGGCGUGAACCCCGGAGCCUCCCUGAGCCCUGUGCCCUCAGCCCCCUCCAGGGCCAGGGGCAAGGCGGGCUCGUCUUCUGUGCCUGGAGCGCUGGAGCCCUCGACAGUCACACUCCCAAGGCCGGCUGAAGAGGGGCAGGGGGAUCAUCUGUCUCUCCAAGGUGCCAGCACCCAGCCUGCCCCUGGGGCUGCCCUGCACCCAGCUGAGGCAAGAGGCCAACAUCUGAGUGAUUAACGUGGAGGGUGCUUGGCAGGAAGCGCGGCGUCUUUUUGGCCCUCAAGGUGACCCUGACCGGGGGCGGGUCCUCUGAUGUCCUCAGGGCCCAGAGGGGGAAACAGGGACAGAAGCCUGCUGCGCCUGGGCUGGUGUGUGGUGGCGACCGACAGGCAGCCCGCUGUUUGGGUCCACUCGUCUCCCAACUGCUCCCCUGGCCAGAACCUGGAACCACCUCGGGCCUCCUCAAGCCUGCUCCAGGGAAGGCGCUGGUUGGGAGGCCAUUUGGCAGCCAGAAGCCCUGGAGUGGCCGCCACUGGCCUCAGGCGCCACCCAAACCCCAAAGGCCUGGGUCCAUGGUUCAGGCUUUAAGCAGAUGCCCUGUGACUGGGCCUCAGUUUCCCUAUCUGUGAGAGGGGCCAGGUAAGGUGACUGUUCAUGCCCAGCUCUGACCCAUUCCCGCCACUGAGGGGGUUGCUGGGUGGAGGGAGAGCGGGACUCCUGUCACUGUCUGCCCUGGGGGUGUGGGACUGCCAUGACGGGGACCCCUGCUGCUUCUACGGGUGGACGAGGCGUCGAGGAGCAGUGACCUGGGUGCUCGGAUUAGGGGAGACAUUUAUUCUAGGACAGAACAUCUAAGAAGGAAAAGGGGCACUUUCAGAGCCUCUGACUGGACCACCCUGGGGCAAAGAGGGGCCACUGUGAGCACGUGUGUGCAGUGGUCCUGUGGCCUCACUGCCAAGUGCAUCUAGAGGGAGUCCCAGAAAAGCAAUUAAAAACCAGCUCCACCUCCGAGGAGCAGAGUUCCAAAAAGGCACCCCCAGCCCUGACAAGAGAGGCCACACUCGGGAAAGGAGGCUGUGCCCCAGGCUGGACCUGGGCUGGAGAAAGGACCCCGACAUGUCCCGAGGACUCCAGUGGGAGUAAUGGAUGCCCAGACUCUGCCCGGCCCACGCUGGCCUGGGCUCACGGGCUGGCUCACCUUUUGUGAUGGUGGUGACAGCCGAAAAGGCGGGCCCAAAGGUCGUUUCCAUUCUGGUCUGGACAGAGAACAGAUGAGACUUGGCACUGGCCCCCAGUGAGGACGUGUGCACACACACACACACACACACGUGGACGUGCACCGGACGCUUUUGCACCACCGUGGUCAUGUGCACCAGUGCAGGAGCCUCAGCAGAGACCAGGCGAGGGACCCAAGGAUCCUGUCCCUAAAAGAGACAAGACCACAUGCGGGUCCUGGUAACCACGAGGCUGUCUGCUUCAGUUCCUAACCCAGCAGGCCCUCAAGGUUGCCAGACUGGACACCUGUCGUGGUCUCCUCUUCCCAGGGCUGUGUCCUUGCGCCCCCCACCCGACCUCUCCAGCGCCCACAGGCCCUUCUGCUGGAGGGAGGGCCUCCUUCCUGCUCGGCCACCCUGGCUCUAACCCCCACUUGGCCUCCCCACCUGCCCGCUGCGGCCACCGCCCGUCCUUCCUCUCCCCCACUCUGGAUGGCGGUGCACAAGGUGGACCCCUGACACAGCCUGGGGGUGCGGCUCUCAGAGAGCUUCCCAGAGGAAGGGGCUGUCCACAUUCAGAGCAGGGAGAGAGUAUUCUGGAAAAAGGGGCCAUUUGUCCUCCUAUCUGAGCACCUGGCUAUAGGGGCCACUUUUACUUGCCCGCACCCUUCCUCCAACUCAGGAUCUGGGCCAAGCAGGGCUGCAGAGGCACAGUGGAGAAGCAUGUCCUGGGCUGUCUAAAAUCAGUGAGUCUAGGGGCCCCCAACUGCUUCACUGGAAAGGUGUGUGACUCUUGAUCUUGCGGUUGUGAGUUCAAGCCCCAUGUUGGGUGUAGAAAUUAUUUAAAUAAAUAAAACUCA